This is a long non-coding RNA of Oncorhynchus keta (chum salmon), 3543 nucleotides long. RefSeq lists it as uncharacterized. The record is from RefSeq and is a predicted model, not a curated record. The transcript is spliced from 3 exons. Lineage: Eukaryota; Metazoa; Chordata; Actinopteri; Salmoniformes; Salmonidae.
GGAAGACCCCUGUUGGCUAAAGGUAUAGAAGACCCCCUGUUGGCUAAAGGUAUGGUAGACCCCUGUUGGCUAAAGGUAUGGUAGACCCCUGUUGGCUAAAGGUAUGGUAGACCCCUGUUGGCUAAAGGUAUAGAUGACCCCUGUUGGCUAAAGGUAUAGAAGAGCCCUUUUGGCUAAAGGUAUGGUAGAACCCCUGUUGACUAAAGGUACAGAAGACCCCUGUUGGCUAAAGGUAUAGUAGACCCCCAGUUGGCUAAAGGUAUGGUAGACCCCCUGUUGGCUAAAGGUAUGGUAGACCCCUGCUGGCUAAAGGUAUAGUAGACCCCCUGUUGGCUAAAGGUAUAGUAGACCCCCUGUUGGCUAAAGGUACAGAAGACCCCUGUUGGCUAAAGGUAUGGUAGACCCCCUGCUGACUAAAGGUACAGAAGACCCCUGUUGGCUAAAGGUAUGGUAGACCCCCUGCUGACUAAAGGUAUGGUAGACCCCCUGCUGACUAAAGGUACAGAAGACCCCUGUUGGCUAAAGGUACAGAAGACCCCUGUUGGCUAAAGGUACAGAAGACCCCUGUUGGCUAAAGGUACAGAAGACCCCUGUUGGCUAAAGGUACAGAAGACCCCUGUUGGCUAAAGGUACAGAAGACCCCUGUUGGCUAAAGGUACAGAAGACCCCUGUUGGCUAAAGGUACAGAAGACCCCUGUUGGCUAAAGGUACAGAAGACCCCUGUUGGCUAAAGGUACAGAAGACCCCUGUUGGCUAAAGGUACAGAAGACCCCUGUUGGCUAAAGGUAUGGUAGACCCCCUGUUGGCUAAAGGUACAGAAGACCCCUGUUGGCUAAAGGUAUGGGAAGAAUGGAUGGGUUCACAUGCCCUUCAACUUUACCAACGCACUCAGAGCCCACAGGGUAAAGGCCAAUUACAGUAUGAUAAUGAGGAUUAGAAUUCACCUCCCAGCUGUUGUAAAGUCUAGUCUCAUCAUUCACACAGCUGUCCCCAAUUAGUCAUUUAAAUCUACACGAUUCCCUAUUAAAACGUCAUAACUGUUGCCCAGAGACGGUCUGCUGCACUCUUACGUAACCGUCUCUAACAUUUCAAUGUAUUUAUUUAGAUUUAACUAGGCAAGUCAGUUAAGAUCAAAUUCUUAUUUACAAUGACGGCCGAUGCUGGGCCAAUUGUGCGUCGCCCUAUGGGAGCCUUUUUUCGAACCAGGGACUGUAGUGACGCCUCUUGCACUGAGAUGCAGUGCCUUAGACCGCUGCGCCACUCAGGAGCCCGAUUGUGUCAGCCGUAGACUGUCUGCUGGUCUCUUUAACAUAACUGUGUCAGCUGGUCUCUUUAACAUAACUGUGUCUUCUGGUCUCUCUAACAUAACUGUGUCAGCUGUAGACUGUCUGCUGGUCUCUUUAACAUAACUGUGUCAGCUGGUCUCUAACAUAACUGUGUCAGCUGGUCUCUAACAUAACUGUGUCUUCUGGUCUCUUUAACAUAACUGUGUCUUCUGGUCUUUAACAUAACUGUGUCAGCUGUAGACUGUCUGCUGGUCUUUAACAUAACUGUGUCUUCUGGUCUCUCUAACAUAACUGUGUCUUCUGGUCUCUCUAACAUAACUGUGUCAGCUGGUCUCUAACAUAACUGUGUCUUCUGGUCUCUUUAACAUAACUGUGUCAGCUGGUCUUUAACAUAACUGUGUCAGCUGUAGACUGUCUGCUGGUCUCUUUAACAUAACUGUGUCUUCUGGUCUCUAACAUAACUGUGUCAGCUGUAGACUGUCUGCUGGUCUCUUUAACAUAACUGUGUCUUCUGGUCUCUCUAACAUAACUGUGUCUGCUGGUCUCUCUAACAUAACUGUGUCAGCUGGUCUCUCUAACAUAACUGUGUCAGCUGGUCUCUCUAACAUAACUGUGUCAGCUGUAGACUGUCUGCUGGUCUUUAACAUAACUGUGUCAACUGUAGACUGUCUGCUAUAGACUGUCUGCUAGUCUCUAACAUAACUGUGUCAGCUGUAGACUGUCUGCUGGUCUCUAACAUAACUGUGCCAGCUGUAGACUGUCUAUUGGUCUUUAACAUGACUGUGUCUGCUGGUCUCUUUAACAUAACUGUGUCUUCUGGUCUCUCUAACAUAACUGUGUCAGCUGUAGACUGUCUGCUGGUCUUUAACAUAACUGUGUCUGCUGGUCUCUAACAUAACUGUGUCAGCUGUAGACUGUCUGCUGGUCUCUUUAACAUAACUGUGUCUUCUGGUCUCUCUAACAUAACUGUGUCAGCUGUAGACUGUCUGCUGGUCUUUAACAUAACUGUGUCAACUGUAGACUGUCUGCUAGUCUUAACAUAACUGUGUCAGCUGUAGACUGUCUGCUGGUCUCUAACAUAACUGUGCCAGCUGUAGACUGUCUAUUGGUCUUUAACAUGACUGUGUCUGCUGGUCUCUUUAACAUAACUGUGUCUUCUGGUCUCUCUAACAUAACUGUGUCAGCUGUAGACUGUCUGCUGGUCUCUUUAACAUAACUGUGUCAGCUGGUCUUUAACAUAACUGUGUCAGCUGGUCUCUAACAUAACUGUGUCUGCUGUAGACUGUCUGCUGGUCUCUAACAUAACUGUGUCUGCUGUAGACUGUCUGCUGGUCUCUUUAACAUAACUGUGUCUGCUGGUCUCUUUAACAUAACUGUGUCAGCUGGUCUCUUUAACAUAACUGUGUCAGCUGUAGACUGUCUGCUGGUCUUUAACAUAACUGUGUCUGCUGGUCUCUUUAACAUAACUGUGUCAGCUGUAGACUGUCUGCUGGUCUCUUUAACAUAACUGUGUCUGCUGGUCUCUAACAUAACUGUGUCUGCUGGUCUCUUUAACAUAACUGUGUCAGCUGGUCUUUAACAUAACUGUGUCAGCUGUAGACUGUCUGCUGGUCUCUUUAACAUAACUGUGUCAGCUGUAGACUGUCUGCUGGUCUCUAACAUAACUGUGUCUGCUGUAGACUGUCUGCUGGUCUCCAACUGUGCUAUUUGAUUUAGUGGAAGAGAAGGUUUGCUUUGAUGAAGUAUAGUAGUCAACCUAAUGUUUGGUCUCUCCUGUAGAGACAGUUUUAUAUAUAUUUUCCUAAAAUCAAAGUAAACACUAUUUUAAUCCAAUUAAUUUGAUUUGAUGGAUAUUGGAUCAUGGCUUGAUGUCUGAUAAAGGUCAUUGUGACUGAAACGUCAACAUCUUUUUAAUCUUUAUCUGAUUUAGACCAACAUUUAUUUUUUCUAAACGUGAGUGUCAUGCCUUCUGCCCGCAUUCAAGGGCACUGGACCAUAAACGUUUACAAGACUUAGUUUAGCUCCCUUCAUCGGACUGAGUUAGCAUAGUAAGCCUGUUAGAGAAGAGGGCUAGCUGCAGUAUUACGUUAUGCUUCUGCCCUGCAGUCAAACUGAGUUAGAGGGUAUUAGAAAGUGCUCUUACAGCUCCGUCUGAGACCAGGGAGACGCUCUCCUCUAGUUAAAGAGAUGAGUAGACUCUCUCUAUAGCUUUGUCUCUUUGACCUCCUGUAGUUUUAGGACACAGGCUUGACCUCUG